GUCUAAUCAGGUCUUAAUAUGAUUACGAUUGAUUGGAGUUUUAUUGGGUUUAAAAUAACCACUUAAAAGAGAGUCCCAUGUGCAUUAAACUUCUUCAUUUCCAUGCGCCAACAUGGUCCCGCGUUAAGCCAGAUUUGGAUGCCACAUCCCACCAAUAUUUGCAUAAAGUUUUUAGCAUGUAAUAAGCUCCUUAAAACCUCUUCUUUCUAUGUAAAACCCAAGCGAAAAGGAUGAAGGUGGGCCUCAUCAAAAUUGAAAGAGUCCUAGCAUGUUUGGACUCUAAUCUCCUAUCCAAAUUAGAACUCCCUUUUGCCUAUUUAAACCAAGGAGCUUUAUGGGAUGGUAGGACCUGAUAUGGAUCAGGUUGAGAUGCCAAAAAAUCAGGGGUUGUGCAAGGAGAAAAACAAAGGGAGAGGGCACAGCAUGGAGGUGGAAGGCGUGAGGUAAUUUCUUUCUUCAUAUCCCUUCUUUCUUACACAACCAAAGGUUGGUUGUUAAGACACCUCUUCUCCUCUCUUUUGUCCAUAUUUAGACAUGGGUUUCUCUUCUUCUCUUUAUCCAAAAGUUGGAUAAAAUUCUUAUAUCUCUAGUAUAGAGAUUUGGUGCAUGGAUUUUAGGAAGAAAAAAGAAGAAAAGAUUCUUCUUAUGAUCUCUAGUGUAGAGAUCAACAUCCUCCUAUGUUCUUCUUCUUCUCUAAGAGUAUCUUGAGAAAAAAGAAGAUUUUCAACCAUCAAGAUGCGAUCUCUGCAAAAGACCUAGCAUCUCGGUGAGAUCAAAAGGUUUUUGAUCAGAUCAGAGUCUCGUGUGGAUAUUCGUAGAGGUCAGAUGCUUGUGCGGCGAUAAGGGAUCUUCAGAAGAUAUCCAUGAUCAUCAGUUCACAGUGAAAAUUGAUUCAUGUCAAGGUAUGUUCUUUAUUUAUUUUUUUAUUUAAUUUUUAUAUCUAAAUUUUAUCUCACAUAUGAUGAUCCUAUUUAUAGUUUGAAGAUUUGAUCUUAUGCAUGCUAGGAUUAAAUUAGAUUUAAUCUAAAAAUUUUAAAUUCUGCUGCAUAUUUAUUUUGAAAAAUUUUUGCAUGUAUGAAAUCAUUAAAUCCAACAGUGAUAUCGGAGCCACGUCAUAUGCAUGAGAUUAAAAUUUAGAUUUAAAAUCUGUAAAAAAAAAUUUCAGAUGUAAAAAUUUUUGAUGUCGUUCUGACAUAAGGUUGCCCUGGCAUAACUUGUUAUACUGUUUAUACUGUAUGGUUGUCCGAGAACGAUGUUAAAAUUUUUAAUUAAAAAAAAUUAAAUCUAAUUUUUUCAAUAUAUAUGUGAUAUAUGUUUUGUUAUUUGGAUCUGAAAAAAAUUUUGAGAUCUGUUUUGAUUUAUAUAUAUGAUAUAUGAAAGAUGUUUAGGGCUGAAAUUUAUUUUUAU
RNAcentral lists this long non-coding RNA (1407 nucleotides) under Elaeis guineensis (African oil palm). RNAcentral's name for it is "long non-coding RNA (EGUI_LNC066784)". The record is from RNAcentral. Lineage: Eukaryota; Viridiplantae; Streptophyta; Magnoliopsida; Arecales; Arecaceae.